GACGAACGCUGGCGGCGUGCUUAACACAUGCAAGUCGAACGGAAAGGCCCUGCGUUUGUGGGGUGCUCGAGUGGCGAACGGGUGAGUAACACGUGAGUAACCUGCCCUUGACUUUGGGAUAACUUCAGGAAACUGGGGCUAAUACCGGAUAGGAGCUCCUCUUGCAUGGUGGGGGGUGGAAAGUUGAGGCUGUCGGGGAUGGACUCGCGGCUGAUCAGCUUGUUGGUGGGGUAGUGGCAUACCAAGGCUGGGACGGGUAGCCGGCCUGGGAGCGUGACCGGCCACCUUGGGACUGCGGUACGGAGCAGACUCGUACGGGGGACAGUAGUGGGGAAUAUUGUCCAGUGGGCGCACGCGUGAUGCAGAAGCGCCGCGUGCGGGAUGCCGGCCUUCGGGUUGUAAAAAGCUUUAGCCUGUGACGAAGCGUGAGUGACGGUAAUGGGUGAAGAAGCACCGGCUAACUACGUG
This 468-nucleotide ribosomal RNA is filed under the name uncultured bacterium. RNAcentral describes it as "partial 16S ribosomal RNA". It matches the Rfam family "Bacterial small subunit ribosomal RNA", at positions 28 to 507 of the family's 1533-position model. The record is from RNAcentral.